RNAcentral lists this ribosomal RNA (484 nucleotides) under uncultured bacterium. RNAcentral's name for it is "partial 16S ribosomal RNA". It matches the Rfam family "Bacterial small subunit ribosomal RNA", at positions 30 to 505 of the family's 1533-position model. The record is from RNAcentral.
AUUGAACGCUGGCGGCAUGCCUUACACAUGCAAGUCGAACGGCAGCACGGGUGCUUGCACCUGGUGGCGAGUGGCGAACGGGUGAGAAAUACAUCGGAACAUGUCCUGUAGUGGGGGAUGGCCCGGCGAAAGCCGGAUUAAUACCGCAUACGAUCUACGGAUGAAAGCGGGGGACCUUCGGGCCUCGCGCUAUAGGGUUGGCCGAUGGCUGAUUAGCUAGUUGGUGGGGUAAAGGCCUACCAAGGCGACGAUCAGUAGCUGGUCUGAGAGGACGACCAGCCACACUGGGACUGAGACACGGCCCAGACUCCUACGGGAGGCAGCAGUGGGGAAUUUUGGACAAUGGGCGAAAGCCUGAUCCAGCAAUGCCGCGUGUGUGAAGAAGGCCUUCGGGUUGUAAAGCACUUUUGUCCGGAAAGAAAUCCUUGGCCCUAAUACGGUCGGGGGAUGACGGUACCGGAAGAAUAAGCACCGGCUAACUACG